CGGGAAGCCAUGCGGCGACGCAGAGCAGAACCCGAAAAACCCUGUCUCAGUUCGGAUUGGAGUCUGCAACCCGACUCCAUGAAGUUGGAAUCGCUAGUAAUCGCGGAUCAGCAUGCCGCGGUGAAUACGUUCCCGGGCCUUGUACACACCGCCCGUCACACCAUGAGAGUCGGGAACACCCGAAGUCCGUAGCCUAACCGCAAGGGGGGCGCGGCCGAAGGUGGGUUCGAUAAUUGGGGUGAAGUCGUAACAAGGUAGC
RNAcentral lists this ribosomal RNA (259 nucleotides) under uncultured bacterium. Its description in RNAcentral is "partial 16S ribosomal RNA". It matches the Rfam family "Bacterial small subunit ribosomal RNA", at positions 1243 to 1500 of the family's 1533-position model. The record is from RNAcentral.